This 262-nucleotide ribosomal RNA is filed under the name uncultured eukaryote. RNAcentral's name for it is "partial 18S rRNA". It matches the Rfam family "Eukaryotic small subunit ribosomal RNA", at positions 324 to 584 of the family's 1831-position model. The record is from RNAcentral.
GAUGGUAGUGUAUUGGACUACCAUGGCGAUCACGGGUAACGGGGAAUUAGGGUUCGAUUCCGGAGAGGGAGCCUGAGAAAUGGCUACCACAUCUAAGGAAGGCAGCAGGCGCAUAAAUUACCCAAUCCUAAUUCAGGGAGGUAGUGACAAGAAAUAACAACUCGGACCUCACACGAGGUUACGAGAUUGCAAUGAGAACAAUUUAAACCUCUUAUCGAGUAACAAUUGGAGGGCAAGUCUGGUGCCAGCAGCCGCGGUAAUA